Long non-coding RNA from Vespa velutina, 1248 nucleotides. RefSeq lists it as uncharacterized. The record is from RefSeq and is a predicted model, not a curated record. Lineage: Eukaryota; Metazoa; Arthropoda; Insecta; Hymenoptera; Vespidae. The transcript is spliced from 2 exons.
GAUAUUAACAUCUUGUCCUGGUUUAUACACUGGCUUAUCAGUUUCAAGGAACGUUAUUAUAGAAUCGUGUUCGAUAUAAACUUCUUUCUCCGAAUCUACAGAAUAAUCGGGAUGUUUGUCGAACUUCAUUUUCAAUUGAAGUCUCGCAUUGGAAUAUUUCGUUGAUGGUACCAUUAACUCCAAGCAUGUUUCCACGCCUAUUUCAUAAAUUGAUCAUUAACGGACAAUCAAUGUGUUAAGUUAUAAGUUGUUGAAUUUUGAUAGAAGUGUCCUAAAUUAUUCAAAUGAUAAUUCUCUUCAUACUAAUGCACAUUUAAAGAACCCUAUCACCAAUACAGAUAUCGUUUGUUCGACGAAUCGCUAUAAAGACUGAUGAUUCAACUGAGCGCGAUAAUCCAAUUAAUUAUUAUUUCUGCAAUUACGUUUGCACGAGACAAUAUACGAGGAAGAUAAUCACUUGAAUAAAUUGAGUGAGUUAAUCGAGAGACGAUGUAAGUGCAGGAUACGAUUGUUUAGAUUUUUCUAUUAAUAUCACUCCCAGAUGUACGAUCGGAUCUAUAUUUGGCUUUAUUUUAUCGAUCAUUUGAAUUAACUUUGAUAACAUUCGAAACCCCAAUGCUGAUAUUCUCCGUAUAUUUUACGCGAUAACAAUGCCGAUGGGUUUCCCAUGUGAUCUAACGAUUGAUUAUUUCCCCUCCAACAAGGGACUUAGCCAAUUCAGCUCCCUCACAGGAAGCGACGACAAUUUCAAUUUACAAUUUGUUUAAAGAGCCUUACGUGACAUAUAGAAAGAUAGAGGUAAUUGAAGAGGGGAGUAAAGACGUAUGUGUGUGUGUGUUUGUAUUUGUGUUUGUGAGAAAAAUAGUGAGAUAAAAAUAGAGAGAACGAGAAACAGGAGAAAGAUAUUUAAUACAAAUAUUAAUCAUAUAAAAAAGAAGUCAAACUUUUUACAUGUGAUUGAUAACUUUCGAUAAAAUUACGUGGAAGCAAAUCUUCAGCCGUGGCAAAGAUGAAAUUUUGUUUUCUUUUUAAGCGUGUUUAUAAUCAUUCUACUUGCCAGACUUUAUGGUGGUACUAGCGCUUGCCAAUAUUUCUCUUUCUGGAGAUAACAAUUCAAGAAGUAUGUGCGCUGGUGGUUCUAAAUUGUGCAGAGACAAACAUCCGCUUUCGGUCUCCCCGGCUAAAAAUCUUUUUGGUGCCGUGAACACAUAUCCUCUGUAAAAAAUUAAAAGAAAUAACGCAAAAAAA